Molecule: ribosomal RNA, 433 nt
Filed under: uncultured bacterium
Lineage: Bacteria
Description: partial 16S ribosomal RNA
Rfam family: Bacterial small subunit ribosomal RNA
Source: RNAcentral
AACGAACGCUUCCUUCCUUCCUAACACAUGCAAGUCGAACGAGACCUUCGGGUCUAGUGGCGCACGGGUGCGUAACGCGUGGGAACCUGCCCUUAGGUUCGGAAUAACUCCCCGAAAGGGGUGCUAAUACCGGAUAAUGUCUUCGGACCAAAGAUUUAUCGCCUUUGGAUGGGCCCGCGUUGGAUUAGCUAGUUGGUAGGGUAAAAGCCUACCAAGGCGACGAUCCAUAGCUGGUCUGAGAGGAUGAUCAGCCACACUGGGACUGAGACACGGCCCAGACUCCUACGGGAGGCAGCAGUGGGGAAUAUUGGACAAUGGGCGAAAGCCUGAUCCAGCAAUGCCGCGUGAGUGAUGAAGGCCUUAGGGUUGUAAAGCUCUUUUACCCGGGAUGAUAAUGACAGUACCGGGAGAAUAAGCUCCGGCUAACUCCGUG